RNAcentral lists this ribosomal RNA (360 nucleotides) under uncultured eukaryote. Its description in RNAcentral is "partial 18S ribosomal RNA". It matches the Rfam family "Eukaryotic small subunit ribosomal RNA", at positions 1470 to 1796 of the family's 1831-position model. The record is from RNAcentral.
CCCUUAGAUGUUCUGGGCUGCACGCGUGCUACAAUGAAGGAGGCAACAAGUGGAAAGAAGGGGGGGAGACCUCCCGGGCAGCUUUAUCGAAAGAUGGGGCAAAUCUUUUGAAACCCCUUUGUAGUAUGGAUUGUCGAUUGAAAUUAUUUGACAUGAAACAGGAAUGCCUAGUAAACGCGAUUCAUCAGAUCGCAUUGAUUACGUCCCUGCUCUUUGUACACACCGCCCGUCGCUCCUACCGAUUGAAAUAAACGGUGAAAAUUCUGGAGGGUGAAUGUUUAGCCAAGCGGAGCAAUUCGGUUGGUGGUUCGUCCAAAGUUAUUUAAAUCUCUUGUUUUAGAGGAAGGAGAAGUCGUAACA